CAAUAGCGUAUAUUAAAAUUGUUGCGGUUAAAAAAGCUCGUAGUUGGGUUUCUGCCGAGGACGACCGGUCCGCCCUCUGGGUGAGUAUCUGGCUUGGCCUGGGCAUCUUCUUGGAGAACGUUUCUGCACUUGACUGUGUGGUGAGGUAUCCAGGAUUUGUACUUUGAGGAAAUUAGAGUGUUUCAAGCAGGCAUACGCCUUGAAUACAUUAGCAUGGAAUAAUAAGAUAGGACCUCGGUUCUAUUUUGUUGGCUUCUAGAGCUGAGGUAAUGAUUAGUAGGGAUAGUUGGGGCAGUCGUAUUUAACUGUCGAGAGGUAAAAUUCUUGGAUUUGUUAGAGACGGACUACUGCGAAAGCAUUUGCCAAGGAUGUUUUCAUUGAUCAAGAACGAAAGUUAAGGGAUCGAAGACGAUCAGAUACC
RNAcentral lists this ribosomal RNA (421 nucleotides) under uncultured eukaryote. Its description in RNAcentral is "SSU rRNA". It matches the Rfam family "Eukaryotic small subunit ribosomal RNA", at positions 592 to 1016 of the family's 1831-position model. The record is from RNAcentral.